AGUUAAGGAGAAUAAUCCCUUACAAUUGAGGCUGUAGUUAGAAAACCACUCUAGAAUACUUAGGAUAUUUCUUAUUUUCGAAAACUAGACCAUCAACUCGUGUUUUCCUUUUCUUUUCUAGGAAUGAUGUGAGGAAGACCUUCUAUUGAAGGAAUUGAGAGACUCGAGGCCCAAGAUCAUUUGACCAAGACCAAAUUUAUCGAGCUUUUUCG
RNAcentral lists this long non-coding RNA (212 nucleotides) under Carica papaya (papaya). Its description in RNAcentral is "long non-coding RNA (CPAP_LNC008584)". Lineage: Eukaryota; Viridiplantae; Streptophyta; Magnoliopsida; Brassicales; Caricaceae. The record is from RNAcentral.